UGUUAAUCUUUUUUCAGCAUUGUUGGAAAUCCCCUUGUUUGUGCAACUGGAAAAGAACCAAACUGUCGUGGCAUGAGUCAAUGUCCAUGAACUUAAAUGCCACUGAAGGUAAGAAUAAGAUCUCUCAAGAGUUUCAUCUUUUUUCGAAUUAAUUGUGAAAUUGUGUCAUUAUUUUUAUGCUGACAUAAAUAAUGGAUGUCUCUGCCUCAUAGUUCUCAGUUUUGGCCUUGUUCUUUGGUGGAAGCACAAGCACAAUCAAAAAACAUUCUUUGAUGUUAAAGGUACUUUCCAAUUAGUAGCAUAGUUAGCAUUUUCUUCUUCUUUAAUACUAUAAUAGUUCCUUCAAUUCAUGUACAGCUAGGAGUCUGUUACUUAUCCACUGACUUCCCUCACGCCCACUUCUUAAGGGCUGAAGCGGAAGAGCAACCAGAGAUAUCCAAGGCUUAUUCCGUCUCUGCUGUCCCUUUCUUUGUCUUCUUCAAGCACUAGUCACAUGUAAAUACAACUUAUUUGUGAUCUGAAGCCCUUGAAAAUGAGUUCGAACAACAUGCAUCUCUGAGGUUUGUACUUGUACUCUUUUCAAUUUUAAUAUUAAUUAUUUUUAGCCUUUUGUAUUUAUUUCUUUAUUGCUUUUCAGUAGCUGAAAUAGGAAAUAUGUAAUCUGCAGAUUCAAAAAAGAAUAGAAGAAAUGGUUAGUGCUAGU
Non-coding RNA from Arachis ipaensis, 703 nucleotides. Lineage: Eukaryota; Viridiplantae; Streptophyta; Magnoliopsida; Fabales; Fabaceae. The record is from RefSeq and is a predicted model, not a curated record.